GAGACGACGCUGGCGGCGUGCCUAACACAUGCAAGUCGAGCGGGGUUGAAGCGAGGGGUAACUCGAACUUCUACCUAGCGGCGGACGGGUGAGUAACGCGUGGGCAACCUGCCUCAAGGAUCGGGAUAACAGCUCGAAAGGGCUGCUAAUACCGGAUAUGCCUAUGGCCUCGCAUGGGGCUGUGGGCAAAGGGGAAACCCGCCUUGAGAUGGGCCCGCGUCCCAUCAGCUAGUUGGUGAGGUGAAGGCUCACCAAGGCGACGACGGGUAGCCGGCCUGAGAGGGUGACCGGCCACACUGGGACUGAGACACGGCCCAGACUCCUACGGGGGGCAGCAGUGGGGGAUCUUGCACAAUGGGCGAAAGCCUGAUGCAGCGACGCCGCGUGAGCGAAGAAGGCCUUCGGGUUGUAAAGCUCUGUCUGGAGGGACGAAGAAAGUGACGGUACCUCCGGAGGAAGCCACGGCUAACUACGUG
This 476-nucleotide ribosomal RNA is filed under the name uncultured bacterium. RNAcentral describes it as "bacterial SSU rRNA". It matches the Rfam family "Bacterial small subunit ribosomal RNA", at positions 33 to 507 of the family's 1533-position model. The record is from RNAcentral.